RNAcentral lists this small RNA (142 nucleotides) under Rhizobium sp. BK313. RNAcentral's name for it is "sRNA ar35". It matches the Rfam family "Alphaproteobacterial sRNA ar35". The record is from RNAcentral. Lineage: Bacteria; Pseudomonadati; Pseudomonadota; Alphaproteobacteria; Hyphomicrobiales; Rhizobiaceae.
AUCGGCAUUGCUGGUGAGCGCUGGAAUAAACUGUUGCUCGCAGUGCUGGCGUCGCUUCUUGCUUUUGACCACGGAUGUACUGGCAGGGGUAUAAAGCGACGGUGAGGAAGGUCGGUGCGAAUUCGCCCCGGCCUUUUUUGUU